CCAAGAGACUCGUAUGGCUUUCUCGUUCGCGUGAAUUAAAAUAAUAAGACUUGAAAAAUAAAAAUUAAUAAAUUGGUUUUAAGACAUAAUAUAUUAACAUGCAAAGAUAAAGUUGAUUCAAUUGACAAACGAAAACAAUGGAGGAAUGAAUGUUGUUGGAUACUAACAAUUUCAUCUUUUCCGCUCUCUCUUACAUACUACCCUUGAAUAUUAGAUUGAUUCAAUUGUUAUGCGACUUUCUUAGCCUCCCCUUAACCCGAUCCCUCGGCGAAAAGGGCCUAAUAUUAACUACUGGCUUGCUAUCCCUAGCCUCCCCUAGUAAUUAAUACCGCAUUAUAAACAGAAGUUAGC
This 351-nucleotide long non-coding RNA is filed under the name Vigna radiata. Its description in RNAcentral is "long non-coding RNA (VRAD_LNC017196)". The record is from RNAcentral. Lineage: Eukaryota; Viridiplantae; Streptophyta; Magnoliopsida; Fabales; Fabaceae.